Molecule: long non-coding RNA, 677 nt
Organism: Scylla paramamosain (green mud crab)
Lineage: Eukaryota; Metazoa; Arthropoda; Malacostraca; Decapoda; Portunidae
Exons: 3
Source: RefSeq, a predicted model, not a curated record
AAAGUGUAAUUUUCUUGUAUUUAAUGUUGAGAAAGAACAAGAAUAGAAAUAUGUUUUAUCACUUUAAAACAUAUCUUUGAACAAUGUCUUCAGAUUUUACCUAAAUGUCUCCUAAGUCCAUAACCUAACAUUAUAUCUACAUUAGGAUGUUUUCACUUAGCUGAAGUAUAUUAAGACUAGUGAAUUCAUAGUCCUCAUGAUAAAAGGCAUCCAAACACAGAAUGGGACACCAAGCUGAAGUAAAAUUUGUGCAACACAAGCAUGCAAUGGGCAGAGAACAGUGAGCUACCACUGAUGAGGGCUUAUUCCAAAGAAAGCAACAACUCAAAAUAUUGCAAACAGCUGGGCAAAAGAACUUUACUCUCCUUUACAUCAUUUCACAAGGAACCUCUAUGUGAGAAUACAAGAUCAGUUGAAAAGUACCCAACCUUAUUAAUUCUCAGAGACCAGUUGGCGAGAGUGAUGUCAAGUAUAGCAGCAGACUGCUGUGCAUGCAUAAUUUUCUGCAGCUUCACCAGGCUCCUUCUCUUCAGAAACUAUUCAUUGGGACUUCUGGCUUUUCCUUGUACUGAAAAUGGCAUUGAAAGACUCCUGAUGUGAGAGCCACAGCACAGAAGGAAGCCAUUAAAAAUUGGAGAUCCAGAAAUAUUUCCAGCAAAGGUGCGUAGGUAAUCAGA